AGCCACACAGGCCCUUCUGACUCACUGAGGCAGCAGCAGGUGGCCUUUGAGAAACAGUGAGACAGAACAGUCCCUUCUGGCCUGGAAAUGCCAGCAGGUGGGGGUGGGGGCAGGCUGCUGCUAAGAUCUGGGGUUCAUUUUACCCCUCUGCAGACUCCACAACCUGUUUCUGCCCCAUCAUCUCCCUGGGAAACGUGUGGGACCCACUUACUUGCAACCCACACACCCUCAGGGCUGUGACUCAACUGGCACUCACGGCAGCCUUCAAUAUUAUUUUUAACCUGACUUCACCUGAUUUGUGGGGGGUGGGGUGGGGACCAGAUUUGCCUAGAAAACUCCACUAAUAGGGCUGGUCCAAGCCGAAAAGGAAGGAGACAAAGUCUUCUUUCCAGCACCUCGAAGAGCCUUUCCCCUGCGUGAACCUGAGAGAAAGAGGCCGGGUCGGCCUACGAAAUGGGCGCCAGGAAAAUCAUCCACAAACUGAUGUGCAUUCACUGCCUCUUUUUUCUGGCUCACCUGUCUGGCCAUGUUUUGUCUUGGGAUGACUCCUCGCAUCCUAUGUUGACAACACCUGGCCAGAAGGGAAGGCAGCCCUAAGCCCGGGGAGCUUCAGAGAUGGCAGCCUACACGCAGGCCGGAAGCACCCCAGAUGCCUCUCGCAUCUGCCAGCGGAAGUCUCCACCUCUUCCGCCCACCAUGCCCUUCCUGCAUAUGUUCCCGAGGAUCAGGGGAAGGCCUGCAGAUGAGCGGUUGGUCUGUUUGGCAUUGGCUGAGCCACACGGCAAGUCUUGUUCAUUCUCCAUCUGGCUGUCUCUGUGAACUUUGCACUGAACUCUUUCCAGCUGCGUCGGCGGCAGCUCUCCUGCCAGGAGGACCCAGUGCCAGGGAGAACAGAAUAAUUGCCUCUCGUGUUGUGCAUGCAGAGCCUUCAUUAACGUGUCCCCGGAGUGGCAUUUGCAGCCCUCUGUCACAGCAGCCUGCCAUUGAAUACCACAAAACUCAUCACCCUCAGAUUCUCCACUGUCUUGAAAGAGCCAGUUAGCCCUUUGUUUCUUCGAGCUGCUUUGGCUCAUUCGGAAAGUCAUGUCGGUGUCCCUGUUAUUAUUUACAUAGAGGAGGUUUCUCUGUUGUCUUGCUCACCAAAUAGCGCAGCUGCAGAUGGUGUUCUUAACCUGGGCCGCCUGUCUUGGAGACAUGCCCAUUGGGAGAGUGUGGCCAAUUCACCAGGGGCCCUCAGCCCCACGCCUGGCAGCCACAUCAUUCACCAGAUGAGCCAGCCGGGCCAGCCUCAUGACUGAGGGACAGCUGCCCAGGUGUUAGUAGAGGCUGCAUUCCAGUGACAUUCCUCCUUGGCAGAAACUUCAAAACUAGAGGGAGACAUUACUCAGGCAGGCUGGUAAGGCAUUCCAGGCUUUCAGACCUCAGGCUUGCAAGACAAACUUAACCUGAUGGUAACAUAGAGUGUAAUAAGAAGCAUCAACUGCACUCCUGCCCAUCUUUGGCAGAUGGAGUGCUGGAGAGGGCAGUAGAGCAUGGAGGCUGAUGGGAACCCUCAUCCACUCAGGCCUUGCACGAAGCCCUUGAAGACAGAACUCUGGUUCUUUCACGAGAACGAC
Molecule: long non-coding RNA, 1616 nt
Filed under: Homo sapiens (human)
Lineage: Eukaryota; Metazoa; Chordata; Mammalia; Primates; Hominidae
Description: HSALNT0168032
Source: RNAcentral